RNAcentral lists this ribosomal RNA (637 nucleotides) under uncultured bacterium. RNAcentral's name for it is "bacterial SSU rRNA". It matches the Rfam family "Bacterial small subunit ribosomal RNA", at positions 28 to 674 of the family's 1533-position model. The record is from RNAcentral.
AUUGAACGCUGGCGGUAUGCCUAACACAUGCAAGUCGAACGAGGUAGCAAUACCUAGUGGCGGACGGGUGAGGAAUACGUAGGGAUCUGCCCUUAAGUGGGGGAUAACCCGGGGAAACCCGGAUUAAUACCGCAUGAUCUCGCAAGAGCAAAGAGGGGGGCCGCAAGGCCUCUCGCUUUUGGAGGAACCUACGUCGGAUUAGCUAGUUGGUGAGGUAAUGGCUCACCAAGGCGACGAUCCGUAACUGGUCUGAGAGGAUGAUCAGUCACACCGGAACUGAGACACGGUCCGGACUCCUACGGGAGGCAGCAGUGGGGAAUAUUGGACAAUGGGCGAAAGCCUGAUCCAGCAAUACCGCGUGUGUGAAGAAGGCCUUCGGGUUGUAAAGCACUUUAAGUUGGGAAGAAAAAGCUUCACCUAAUACGUGAAGCCUUGACGGUACCGACAGAAUAAGCACCGGCUAACUCUGUGCCAGCAGCCGCGGUAAUACAGAGGGUGCUAGCGUUAAUCGGAUUUACUGGGCGUAAAGCGUGCGUAGGUGGUUUGAUAAGUCGAUUGUGAAAGCCCCGGGCUUAACCUGGGAAUUGCGGUCGAUACUGUCAGACUCGAAAACGGUAGAGGAGGUGGAACUCCAGGU